ACGAACGCUGGCGGCGUGCCUAAUACAUGCAAGUCGAGCGGACCGACGGGAGCUUGCUCCCUUAGGUCAGCGGCGGACGGGUGAGUAACACGUGGGUAACCUGCCUGUAAGACUGGGAUAACUCCGGGAAACCGGGGCUAAUACCGGAUGCUUGAUUGAACCGCAUGGUUCAAUCAUAAAAGGUGGCUUUUAGCUACCACUUGCAGAUGGACCCGCGGCGCAUUAGCUAGUUGGUGAGGUAACGGCUCACCAAGGCGACGAUGCGUAGCCGACCUGAGAGGGUGAUCGGCCACACUGGGACUGAGACACGGCCCAGACUCCUACGGGAGGCAGCAGUAGGGAAUCUUCCGCAAUGGACGAAAGUCUGACGGAGCAACGCCGCGUGAGUGAUGAAGGUUUUCGGAUCGUAAAACUCUGUUGUUAGGGAAGAACAAGUACCGUUCGAAUAGGGCGGUACCUUGACGGUACCUAACCAGAAAGCCACGGCUAACUACGUGCCAGCAGCCGCGGUAAUACGUAGGUGGCAAGCGUUGUCCGGAAUUAUUGGGCGUAAAGCGCGCGCAGGCGGUUUCUUAAGUCUGAUGUGAAAGCCCCCGGCUCAACCGGGGAGGGUCAUUGGAAACUGGGGAACUUGAGUGCAGAAGAGGAGAGUGGAAUUCCACGUGUAGCGGUGAAAUGCGUAGAGAUGUGGAGGAACACCAGUGGCGAAGGCGACUCUCUGGUC
This 724-nucleotide ribosomal RNA is filed under the name uncultured Bacilli bacterium. Its description in RNAcentral is "bacterial SSU rRNA". It matches the Rfam family "Bacterial small subunit ribosomal RNA", at positions 29 to 734 of the family's 1533-position model. The record is from RNAcentral. Lineage: Bacteria; Bacillati; Bacillota; Bacilli.